Molecule: non-coding RNA, 267 nt
Organism: Pelobates cultripes (western spadefoot toad)
Lineage: Eukaryota; Metazoa; Chordata; Amphibia; Anura; Pelobatidae
Source: the annotation of a GenBank genome assembly
AGUGGAGUUACAACUCUGGCAGCACAGGGGUUAAUCUCCAUAUGGCCAGUGUUUCAUAGAGAAAUUGAAGUAACCCUUUAAUUACCAGCAACAAGCUCUUCCCUUGUCCAAUGGGAGGCCUGUGCAAACCAUGAAUAAUUAAAAAAAUAUCUACAUAAAAAUUAACUUACAUGAGACAAUACAUUUGCAAACUUAGAAAAAUGUAGAUAAAUAAUUUGAUUAUAAAUUGGUACUGGUGAAAAAUAUAAAAAUAGUAAUAUAGUAAUU